GAUGAAGAACGUAGCGAAAUGCGAUAAGUAGUGUGAAUUGCAGAAUUCAGUGAAUCAUCGAAUCUUUGAACGCACAUUGCGCCCUUUGGUAUUCCUUAGGGCAUGCCUGUUCGAGCGUCAUCUAAACCUUCAAGCCCUGCUUGGUGUUGGGUGCCUGUCCCGCCUCUGCGCGUGGACUCACCUCAAAUCCAUUGGCGGCCCCCGCGUCGGCCACGAGCGCAGCAGAAACGCGAACUUGUGAGCCCGUCCGGGCGGCUCCCAGAAGCUAACCCCCAAUUUUUGACCUCGGAUCAGGUAGGGAUACCCGCUGAACUUAAGCAUAUCAAUAAGCGGAGGA
This 337-nucleotide unclassified non-coding RNA is filed under the name soil metagenome. RNAcentral describes it as "partial contains 5.8S ribosomal RNA, internal transcribed spacer 2, and large subunit ribosomal RNA". The stretch from base 1 to 120 matches the Rfam family "5.8S ribosomal RNA", at positions 35 to 154 of the family's 154-position model. The record is from RNAcentral.